This 260-nucleotide long non-coding RNA is filed under the name Glycine max (soybean). Its description in RNAcentral is "long non-coding RNA (GMAX_LNC002120)". The record is from RNAcentral. Lineage: Eukaryota; Viridiplantae; Streptophyta; Magnoliopsida; Fabales; Fabaceae.
CCUUCCCCUCUGUUUGUAUAUAUAUAAAAAAAUCCCUUCCCCUUUGCUCAGUCCCAAGCAGUUUUCGCGAGAGUGUUCUUGUUGCAGAUUUGGGUUCUGGUGCGAGCAAAGAAUGUGCCGUCGCGUGCGAAGAUUAUGCCAUCAUUUGUGCAGUUGAACCACUUGGCAAGCUCGGUGGGACAGAGUCGAGGUCGAGAAGGGUGCGUCCCGCGACGGAGGACGGCGGCGGCGCGAUCGAGAAGAAGGGGAAGAAGGAGAAC